AUUGAACGCUGGCGGCAGGCUUAACACAUGCAAGUCGAGCGGGGUGAUGGUGCUUGCACUAUCACUUAGCGGCGGACGGGUGAGUAAUGCUUAGGAAUCUGCCUAUUAGUGGGGGACAACAUCUCGAAAGGGAUGCUGAUACCGCAUACGUCCUACGGGAGAAAGCAGGGGAUCACUUGUGACCUUGCGCUAAUAGAUGAGCCUAAGUCGGAUUAGCUAGUUGGUGGGGUAAAGGCCUACCAAGGCGACGAUCUGUAGCGGGUCUGAGAGGAUAAUCCGCCACACUGGGACUGAGACACGGCCCAGACUCCUACGGGAGGCAGCAGUGGGGAAUAUUGGACAAUGGGGGGAACCCUGAUCCAGCCAUGCCGCGUGUGUGAAGAAGGCCUUAUGGUUGUAAAGCACUUUAAGCGAGGAGGAGGCUCUUUUGGUUAAUACCCAAGAUGAGUGGACGUUACUCGCAGAAUAAGCACCGGCUAACUCUGUGCCAGCAGCCGCCGUAA
RNAcentral lists this ribosomal RNA (503 nucleotides) under uncultured bacterium. Its description in RNAcentral is "partial 16S ribosomal RNA". It matches the Rfam family "Bacterial small subunit ribosomal RNA", at positions 30 to 523 of the family's 1533-position model. The record is from RNAcentral.